AGGGAAAGAAGCUACAAUUAGCAAUUAGCUGUUACCUAAUGGAUAGUGAGCAACUCACCUACCCUA
This 66-nucleotide transfer RNA is filed under the name Parvasolenaia rivularis. Its description in RNAcentral is "Solenaia rivularis tRNA-Asn". Lineage: Eukaryota; Metazoa; Mollusca; Bivalvia; Unionida; Unionidae. The record is from RNAcentral.